Gallus gallus (chicken) is the source of this 4551-nucleotide long non-coding RNA. Lineage: Eukaryota; Metazoa; Chordata; Aves; Galliformes; Phasianidae. The record is from Ensembl.
GGGAAAAAUUACUUGUUGGUUAACCUGCAGGGUGAGCCUUAAUCAAUAGGCACGGACGAUGAAAAGAACAAAGCAUGUGAAACUUAAGCCUUUAUAUCUUGAGCUCCAUCAGAUAAAAGCUGUACCUGGAGCUGGAAAGGACAGCCAGGCUUAGCUGGGAGCUUAAACGCAUCAGCGCGAUCCAGGUUGUUUCAGGAGUUCACUUGGCUUAUUGACUGCCGUUCCCUUCCGCCACCACCAAAGAUUAAAACACAAAAGUAAGCCUCUAAUGCCGACUUAUCAGACUCUUAACGACAGAGCCCUCAAAAGAAAAACUAAUUAAUGCGAAAUGCGCGUCUCGAUCGUGACGUGUGAUUUCCUCAGGCCACUUUCCCCUGCCCGAAAUAUGAUUAAGGACAGGAAGAAAGCCCUGUUUCCUACGUGUGCAAACCUCCACACAAAAGGGGAAGCCUAGCAGAGUUCUUACAGUUCUAUGGCUAUCUCAUGGGAGCGACUUCCAAAGGCUACCAUCAGCUGGUAUGUGGUCAUAUAAGCAUAUUUUAACGUCCCCUUUCAUUCACUUUGGGCCCGAUUAAAUUAAAAGCAUCAUUCUGGGGAGGAUUUUUCUUUUCAUUCUGAAAUGAAGCUUAGCUCCAUUUUUAUAGAGCAACCUGCAUUGGUAAAUCUGUGUCAGCGGGUCAGGCCAGCUCUGGGACCCACAACCCUCUGAGCUCAUUCCCUGCACGGAGCAGCAUUGCAGUUGGUGUUAACAAGGGCAGGAGAAGCGCUGAGCCCCUGAUCCAUUGGAAAUACUGUAUGGCAUCACCGUAUCUGGCAGACAGAGUUUGCUGCUGGGCAGCCCCAGCUCUCAGGCGCCAGAUUUGUACGUUCUGACUGUUAGCAUUUCUGAAGUGUGCUAAUACAGCCAUGAUCGUAAUGGCGAGUAGUAUAAUUAUUCUGAGAACUUACUAUGCCUUCACCAGGCUCAUCGCUUGCGGGGCAGAAUGGGAGAAUGAGACAGAAUUCAGAGUUUAGCUAAUAUUUUCCCAAAUCCUGGCAUUCCUAUGCUUUUCUUUCAGUUGCUUCAGUUUAAGUUGCCCGUAUGUCAAACGGUGCCUUCUAAGAGCUCUGAUUCUCGUUCAGUAAUGAGUUCUAAUAAUUCAGUGAUUAAAUUAAUUAAUUUUGAGAGCCCUUAAGACACCCACGAGUGAAGGUACUUGCAGAAGUCUUGCACGUACCACCUCCAGCUCCGCGUGGGCGCUGAGCGUCAGACGCUCGCAGCCGCAGUGCCAGCUAAAUUAAAAAAGGGAUGAAAACCAAUUAAAAGGACUGAGACUGGUACUGAAUUGGAAAAGUCAAUAGGAAAUGGAUAAAAGCUCAUAUCUGGCUUGGUGUUUGUGCAUAAAUAUGGCACGAUUUCUGCAGUCAUAAUGAUGUUCCCUGAGACUCCAGCAAGCACAAACUAAUCUUCUGUCAGAGGAGUCUAGAACAAAGCAAAGCCCUCUAACUUUUUCCUUGCAAGGAAUAUGAUUUAGGUAAUAUUUGCAAUCACAGGGAGAAGAUAUAGGCAAGAAUAAAAAAUAAAAGUCAAGAAUUAGACGCAGUGAAACGGAGGGGUGAGUAAUCUAGAAGCAUUUCCUGCAAUUUUGACAAUUUUUUUUUAGAAAUUAAAGACGUUUUAGAAAACAAACAAAUCUGGGAGUAUUCAGUCAAGGCAGGCUCAGCUCCCUGGCUGGACAAGCCCCAUCCCCUGGCACCGGCUGGCCCAGCUCAGUGCCUCACAGAACCUUCUCGAAGGCCGUUUGACUGGAGGGGUGGAGGGACCGCGUGAGCAAACAUUUUCUGCUGACUGCAAAGUGUCUGCAAAGCCAGCCCAGCGCCUCUUCCUGAACCGGGUGGCUGCAUUGCACACGGAGCCUGCUUGCUUACAAAACACCUCUCUCUCCUCAUCCAAGUUUACCACGUCAACAGCAUCGCCCGCCAGCUGCCAGCCCAACGAGGAGCCAAAAAGGAGCUUUUUGGGUGCCUCCAUCUUCCUGUCUGUGGGAGCACCUCACCAGGCAGCCAAGCGCUUUGUUUUGUCUCCUGCUCCCCGGUGUCCGAGCAGGCAGUGCAAGCAGGGGCUGGUUGGGUUGGCACCGGGCCCUCUGCAGCAAGAGCGAGGAGCCCUAAUGGUGCUCGUUUGGUCGUGCACGCACACAUGAAAAAGCCUCGGGUAAGAAAAGAAUAAACAAAACCAACCCAAAAUGGCUUCUCCGUGCCAUGAGCGGAAACCGAUGGGUGAGGCAGAGAGAGACCUUCCCUUCGCUUCCACCUCAACUAGGUGGUCUGAAAAGUUCCAAAUCUCCUUCCUCCACUUGCAGCGCAGAAGCUGAGGAAUUAAUUCUGGCUCCCAAGAUCCCACAAACAUACGGCUAAAACAAGAGGGUCGGACGUUUUGUAAUUGCAACAAAAUGCAUUAAGAUGGCAGCUGAUUUAGAAUCUAAUUGAAAAAAUGGCAAUCACCACAAAGAAAAGCAAAAGGAGCCCAUAGCGUGCUGCAUUUCAAAGGUCACUGUUAGCACUGCCCAAGCUGGGUCCUCGCUGAAAUGCAGUGAGUCUGCUUGGAUGGAUCUCCCUAGUUUUAUACCAUCACUUUUCAGUUGCCGUAAGCCUUCUCAGAUGGAGUCUUUUUUCCAAGCUCUCCAGGACACCUGGGUGAAACUGGCUUUCCCCCAUGGCUCCCUCCUAUUUGGUUUCUUGGUUCUGCUCUGCCUGCCCUGACUGGUUUGGCUGGUUGGAAAAUGAACGCCGGAUUCAUGCGCCGCUCCCCCUCCCCCAGAACUGAGCAGACAAAACCUGAUCCCGACAACAAAACCCUCUUUAAUCCACCUGGGGAGAAAAGGAGGAAGAGAAAAGAGGACAGAGCCCUGCGAAAAAGUGAAGUGGAGAGGACGAACACAGGUAUGAAAAGCACUGAAGAAGUCAUGCCGCAUGCUACUCAGAUCAUUGCUACCACAGUACCUGGACACCGUGGCUUACCAGUACCAUGAACACACACACCAUUCAUGCAACUUCGGUGCUGAACGCACAGCACCUUUUCCCAAACCAAGAUCGCCAGCCUUCGAGAGGGCAACCAAAGGGACGCAGUGAGCAUCGCGGGUGCACAGCAGGGCUUCCAACCUUCCCGUGUCCUGGAAAAGAUGAACUUGGAGCGAGAGGCGUUCGCAGCGGAGGGAGGAAAAAAAAAUAAAUAAAAAUCGAACCAAACCUGAAAAAAAAAAAACAAAAAACCAACACAACUCAAAGUGGUAUCAGCCUACCGAAACCUAACCAAACUAAAAAAGAAAAUAAAAUAGGAAAGCAAAAGGAUUAAACCACGCGUGGUUUUCUUCGCAGCCCAGAGCUCUGCUGCUUGUUUAAGCUGGAAUUGAGAAGAGACGGCGAGUGUCUACGGGCUCGUCUUACAUGUAGUCCUUCACCCCUCCCUGCGCAGGUGCAUUCCUUGCGCCCAGCCAAUCUGCGGCCGCUGGCCCCCAACAGGUGUGUCCUCCGCGGGGAGCGGCCGGCUGAGCCUCAGCCCUGUGCCGAGGCGGCCUCUCCGGGGGCACUCAGCCUCCCCACUGCUGUCUUGAACAAAGAAUCGAUUAUUUACGAAGCGUGGGCUCCGACCUGGUGCUCCUGCUCCACCUCGUGCUCCUCCCAGGCGCCCCAAAUGUUGGCGUGAUGUGGUGCUACCGGUUCGGUGCUGGGAAAUAUUGCAGGGCUGUUUGUCAACCUGUUGAAUGAGAAAUGUGAUUAUUUAACUGAAACCCACCUGGGUCACCUCACCUGCAGCAGCAGAGCGUCGGUGGGUUGCUGAUUGCUUUCCCAAGCGAAGGAUGUAACAUGCACAGGGGCAACCUAAGGCACAAAGAGGUGCAAGGACUUUCUGUAGGACACAGCCAUGACUUUGCUGGUGAAUCCCCAAGGGCUGAUUAUUUCUUCAUCUUUGAAAACAGCAGCUUGGAUCCCACCAUCGUCUAGUCUUGGCACACAGAGUAAUCACAUAAACUAACAAGGAAUCCGACCAGAAUUCCACUGCCCUGCUAUGCAGGCUAGCAAUAGCAGAGGCCCACAGCUGGAUUCAUAAAAUCACAGAAUGGCUUCGGUUGGAAGGGGCCUUAAAGAUCAUGCAGCUCCAACCAAGGGUGCCAAACACCAGAUCAGGCUGCCCAUGGCCCCAUCCAACCUAUCCUUGAAUUCCUACGUCCUUCCAGGAGUACCAUGACCGAAAACCCAACAAUCUCAGCACAGGUCAGCUCGGACUGCUGGUAUUCACUCCUAGAUCUGUCAGAUAGAAAUUCUAUUCUCAGUGCUGACAAACAUCCCUGUUUCCCCUUCCCUGCACAGAAUGCUACUGAGAUGCUGGCAAGUGGAGUCUGUUCCACGACAUAACCUUGUUUUGAAAGUGUCGAGGGAUGUGCAAAAAGGGUUUACAAGAUUAGGACUGAUGCUCAUGAUUGGUAACAGCACUUAAAACAAAGCCAAACAGUGUCUUUCUAUGUAGCACUUUUAGCCCCUUUCAAGGAAGUUUUCCCUAAAUUCUCAGCA